Molecule: ribosomal RNA, 516 nt
Filed under: uncultured bacterium
Lineage: Bacteria
Description: partial 16S ribosomal RNA
Rfam family: Bacterial small subunit ribosomal RNA
Source: RNAcentral
GACGAACGCUGGCGGCGUGCCUAACACAUGCAAGUCGAACGGAGUGUUUAUUUAUAAACACUUAGUGGCGAACGGGUGAGUAACGCGUAGACAACCUACCCUCUAGAUGGGGACAACACCGCGAAAGUGGUGCUAAUACCGAAUGUUGUAAUGUUGUUGCAUAAUGAUAUUCCUAAAGGUGGCCUCUAUAUAUAAGCUACCGCUAGAAGAUGGGUCUGCGUCUGAUUAGCUAGUUGGUGAGAUAACAGCUCACCAAGGCAAUGAUCAGUAGCCGGUCUGAGAGGAUGAACGGCCACACUGGGACUGAGACACGGCCCAGACUCCUACGGGAGGCAGCAGUGGGGAAUCUUCCGCAAUGGACGAAAGUCUGACGGAGCAACGCCGCGUGAGUGAAGAAGGUUUUCGGAUCGUAAAGCUCUGUCUUCAAGGACGAAUGUCGAUAUUGUGAAUAAUGAUAUUUAAUGACGGUACUUGAGGAGGAAGCCACGGCUAACUACGUGCCAGCCGCCGCCGUAA